GGGGGCAAWWCUGACCGARCAACGCCGCGUGAGUGAAGAAGGUUUUCGGAUCGUAAAGCUCUGUUGUAAGUCAAGAACGAGUGUGAGAGUGGAAAGUUCACACUGUGACGGUAGCUUACCAGAAAGGGACGGCUAACUACGUGCCAGCAGCCGCGGUAAUACGUAGGUCCCGAGCGUUGUCCGGAUUUAUUGGGCGUAAAGCGAGCGCAGGCGGUUUKWUAAGUCUGAAGUUAAAGGCUGUGGCUCAACCAUAGUUCGCUUUGGAAACUGUCAAACUUGAGUGCAGAAGGGGAGAGUGGAAUUCCAUGUGUAGCGGUGAAAUGCGUAGAUAUAUGGAGGAACACC
This 345-nucleotide ribosomal RNA is filed under the name uncultured bacterium. RNAcentral describes it as "bacterial SSU rRNA". It matches the Rfam family "Bacterial small subunit ribosomal RNA", at positions 373 to 710 of the family's 1533-position model. The record is from RNAcentral.